GGCAUAGGGAGAAAUGGGGCAGGGCAGGCCCUGCUCUUCUAGGGGCCUGCUGUGGCUUCCACUGGGUCCUAAUGCCCCUGGCUCCUGUCCCUUUUGACUGUAGCCAGAGGCAAAUAAAUAUUAAUU
This is a long non-coding RNA of Gavialis gangeticus (Gharial), 126 nucleotides long. RefSeq lists it as uncharacterized. The transcript is spliced from 3 exons. NCBI's taxonomy places the organism in Eukaryota, Metazoa, Chordata, Crocodylia, Gavialidae. The record is from RefSeq and is a predicted model, not a curated record.